AUAUGAUUCAAAUUUCAGAAGGCUUUCCUACUUCUGAACACCAAGAAACCAAAACAGUCAACUGGAUGAAUCCACUUACAAGCCAAGAAAAGUAACAAGGCAUUUUCAUAUCACAAAAGUAGGAACUUCACAAACGCUGCUUUGAAUAACUGGAGACUGGCAGAUCCAAUGGAAAAACAAAUGCCAAAUGUUCAAGAAAUAGCAGACUAGUACAAGGUGCUGCCAUGCAGAAGGACUGUGGGCAUGGGAGAGAUUGAAAUUGGUG
This is a long non-coding RNA of Balaenoptera acutorostrata (minke whale), 265 nucleotides long. RefSeq lists it as uncharacterized. NCBI's taxonomy places the organism in Eukaryota, Metazoa, Chordata, Mammalia, Artiodactyla, Balaenopteridae. The record is from RefSeq and is a predicted model, not a curated record. The transcript is spliced from 3 exons.